RNAcentral lists this ribosomal RNA (793 nucleotides) under Dendrobaena veneta. RNAcentral's name for it is "12S ribosomal RNA". The record is from RNAcentral. Lineage: Eukaryota; Metazoa; Annelida; Clitellata; Crassiclitellata; Lumbricidae.
UACCAGUUUGAUUCUGACUGAAAACUUAGCUAUUUUGAACCAAUAUACAUGUAAGUCCAAGCACACCCGCAUAAAAUAAUAUAUCUAAAAGAAUAUAUAGUCACAUAGAGUCUUCUAAACGUGAUAGCGCGCCACAGUAAAUAAAACUAAAAAUUUGCUAAAGCAAGAAUUGGGCAUCAAAGAUAGAGUUGGCAAAAUUCGUGCCAGCUGCCGCGGUUAGACGACAAACUCAAGCUAAUUAAGACUCGACUAAACACAAGGUGUAUUAAAAAAUAAAUAAGGUCUAAUUUUCAUAAUCUCCGACUCAUAUACACCACUUAAAUUGUGAAAACAUAACUAAAAACACGGAUUAGAUACCCGUCUAUUUAUGUCAUAAAUAUAGUCGAAAAAUACGAACUAUUGUUUAAAAUUCAAAGACUUUGGCGGUGUCUUAUCAAACCAGGGGAACCUGUCCCAUAAUUCGAUAAUCCACGACCACCUCACCCCCUCUAGACUCCACAGCUUGUGUACUGCCGUCGUAAGCACACCUCUAAAAGUGUUUAAGUGUGCAAUCAUGAUCACCUCAUAUACGUCAGGUCAAAGUGCAGCUAAUGAGGGGGAGGAAGAUGGGUUACAUUCUUAACAAAGACACGAAUAAUAACUCCAACAGUUAUUUGAAGGUGGACUUGAUUGUAAUUCUAUCUAACUAGCAUGAAAUUGAAUCUAAGACAUGCACACAUCGCCCGUCACUCUCACCUAAAGGCGAGAUAAGUCGUAACAAAGUAGGUGUAACGGAAGUUGCACCUGUCGGAGU